GCCCAGAUAGCUCAGUUGGUAGAGCACAUGACUGAAAAUCAUGGUGUCCGUGGUUCAAUUCCGCGUCUGGGCACCA
RNAcentral lists this transfer RNA (76 nucleotides) under Eubacteriales Family XIII. Incertae Sedis bacterium. RNAcentral's name for it is "tRNA-Phe". It matches the Rfam family "tRNA". Rfam says of the family: Transfer RNA (tRNA) molecules are approximately 80 nucleotides in length. Their secondary structure includes four short double-helical elements and three loops (D, anti-codon, and T loops). Further hydrogen bonds mediate the characteristic L-shaped molecular structure. tRNAs have two regions of fundamental functional importance: the anti-codon, which is responsible for specific mRNA codon recognition, and the 3' end, to which the tRNAs corresponding amino acid is attached (by aminoacyl-tRNA synthetases). tRNAs cope with the degeneracy of the genetic code in two manners: having more than one tRNA (with a specific anti-codon) for a particular amino acid; and 'wobble' base-pairing, i.e. permitting non-standard base-pairing at the 3rd anti-codon position. The record is from RNAcentral. Lineage: Bacteria; Bacillati; Bacillota; Clostridia; Peptostreptococcales; Anaerovoracaceae.